RNAcentral lists this long non-coding RNA (1994 nucleotides) under Medicago truncatula (barrel medic). RNAcentral describes it as "long non-coding RNA (MTRU_LNC003181)". The record is from RNAcentral. Lineage: Eukaryota; Viridiplantae; Streptophyta; Magnoliopsida; Fabales; Fabaceae.
GUUUACAAAUUUACAUAAUUAACAAUUGUGAACAAAAUAAAAUAAUGUGGAAAACCAUGAAACUAGACUCUGACCGUAAUCCGAUCUUUGGUGAUACUUUAAAACGACUUAUACCUGAAAAAUGGAAAUCAACAUGGGAUAAGAUAUGAAUUAUCUAAGUGGGCUUCCCGACGUGAGAUAAAAUACAAUCUUGUCAUUGAACAAGAUUUGUCAUGAGAUGUAAACAUAGUCAUGAAUUCAAAUAUAAUCGGUUGACAGACAUCAACUAUUUAUUUACUAUAAACAUAUUUAUUCAAUCACUUUCUCUUAACAUUAUACUUAUAAACAAUAUAAGAAAUCCUCUAGAAUAUCGAACGUGAGAAAACCUUGAUAACCAAAUUAUUCUAGAAAUCGUUAGGUAAGACGGAGAUAGAUUAACUCCGAUAAACGGUGCUUUGUUUACCCCUUCUUACACGUCCCGUCGUAGACGGAGAAUCCACCUAGCUAGGCUAAAUCCUAAGAUUUACACUCAACUUAUCAGUCAUCUAAACAAUUAUGAGACAUUAACAUAUUACUGACAAGGAAUGUCCAAUUUCACAUCGAAUUCACCUUUUGAUCAACCAUCAUCUUUUCAUGCAACUUUCAUCAUUUAAGACUUCUUAGAAAAAUAUAGAACAUGAAAGUAUACAUAGAUUAUAAAAACAUAAUUUUCUGCUAAACCAUCUGUUAAUCAAAGCCAUAAAAGACAUAUAAAUUGAAGUUAUAAUUUUUUGUAAAUUUUCUAAUGAUAAUCAAUACACAUACAACAAGAAUGCAUUUGGUCCCAUAUCCAAAUUCAAAGUAAUCAAUUCUCUAAAAUUUGUACACUAAAACUGAUAUGCAAAAACAAUUCCAGAACUGCAAUCCAUAAAACCAUCGAGUAAAUCACUCAUAUGAAAUCAAACAUUUUUUAAUAUUUUACUAGCCAAUUUUUAAAUUGAAGUUAUGCAAUUGGACCCGUCUAAAAAUUCAAAAUAAAUAAAUUCAUAAAAAUCAUGCACCGAAACUAUUUUAUUCAGGAAAUUCUAGUUAAUCCUUAAAAUUUCAUUUUCAUAUGCAUCAAGAAUCACUUCACCCAAAGCCCAAUUAAGUAGUUAAAACUAGGGUAAAUACCUCUUUUCGUCCGUCCUUAUAAUAUUAGUGAAUUCCGGUUUUAGUCCAUGUGAAAAAAAAAAGAUUUAGAUUCUGUCCCUGUAAUUUCAAAUUCUUCCACUUUUGGUCCCUCAUUUCACCACGUCAGCAGAAUCUGCAUACAUGGCACGUAAAAUGAGGGACAAAAAGUGGAGGAAUAUGAAAUUACAGGGAUCAAAAGUGGGAGGAAUCUGAAAUUACAGGGAUGUAAUUUAUGCAUAUUCUGCUGAUGUGAUGAAAGGAAGGACAAAAAGUGGAAGAAUAUGAAAUUACAUGGACAAAAUCUAAAUCUUUUUUUUACAGGGACUAAAACCAAAAUUCGUUAAUAUUACAUGGACGAAAAGAGGUAUUAACCCUUAAAACUAUGAACCUUUAAUUCAUUUUAUCAUUCACUAAUCAAUUUAGCAAAAACACACAAACUAAUUAAUGCAACAACUUUACUCUAAAAAUCUAACAUGCAUAAUGGACCCUUUACUUUGAGCAACUAAUUCCUAACCCCAUAACCCAAAAAUAGUAAAUUUAGGUUAUGCAUGAGGGAUGAGGAAAAGAGGAAAACCACCUCUAAUUGAUGAUGAUAAUUGCUUCCAAAGCUUGUUUCUCCUCUCUAUUUCUACUUGCUUUUGCUUCUAUUUCUUAUCUUUCUUGAAACCUUAAUUCCCUUUGCUCUAUAUCUUGAUUCCUACUUUCAGUUUCACUCAUCUAGAUUUUCUCCAUGAGAUUAAGCUAAACCUUCAGAUUGUAUGAUUGCAUGUGAGUUUUGAUUUCAGAAUUGUUGAGGAAUUGGUUAGAAUGAAGGUUUGGUAUGGAAGAGAGGGUGAACAACAUGAGGGAGUAAGAGAGAGAGG